CACACACUCGCUCCACUACCACCCCCAGCCCCCUACUCUCCCCCAGAGGCUGGUGGUCUUCCUGCUACAUCAGAUCUUUGUUAAUCGAUAAUUUAGCAUGGCCAGUCCACCUAACCUGCAGAUCUUGGGGUUGUGGGAGGAAACCGGAGCACCCGGAGGAAACCCACGCAGACACAAGGGGAGAAUGUGAAAACUCCACACCGAUGGUCGCCUGAGGAUGGAAAUGUGACAUGUUUGUUGCUACAGCACCAUUGCACUUCCAGUGAUUCAGAGUGUGUAACAACCUGAGAUGUAAUACCACAAAUAUAAAUCUUCAUGAAACAAAAGUGUUUAAAAUUAAAUUAUACCAUUGACAAUG
Molecule: long non-coding RNA, 358 nt
Organism: Stegostoma tigrinum
Lineage: Eukaryota; Metazoa; Chordata; Chondrichthyes; Orectolobiformes; Stegostomatidae
Exons: 2
Source: RefSeq, a predicted model, not a curated record